RNAcentral lists this ribosomal RNA (481 nucleotides) under uncultured Glomeromycotina. RNAcentral's name for it is "SSU rRNA". It matches the Rfam family "Eukaryotic small subunit ribosomal RNA", at positions 596 to 1081 of the family's 1831-position model. The record is from RNAcentral. Lineage: Eukaryota; Fungi; Glomeromycota.
AGCGUAUAUUAAAGUUGUUGCAGUUAAAAAGCUCGUAGUUGAAUUUCGGGGUUAGUAAGUUGGUCAUGCCUUUGGUAUGCACUGGCUUUACUGAUUCCUCCUUCUUGACGAACCGUGAUGUCAUUAAUUUGGUGUUGCGGGAAAUCAGGACUGUUACUUUGAAAAAAUUAGAGUGUUUAAAGCAGGCUAACGCUUGAAUACAUUAGCAUGGAAUAAUGAAAUAGGACGUUAAUCCUAUUUUGUUGGUUUCUAGGAUCGACGUAAUGAUUAAUAGGGAUAGUUGGGGGCAUUAGUAUUCAAUUGUCAGAGGUGAAAUUCUUGGAUUUAUUGAAGACUAACUACUGCGAAAGCAUUUGCCAAGGAUGUUUUCAUUAAUCAAGAACGAAAGUUAGGGGAUCGAAGACGAUCAGAUACCGUCGUAGUCUUAACCAUAAACUAUGCCGACUAGGGAUCGGAUGAUGUUAUUUUUAAUGACUCAUUC